GAGGAGUAGGAGUGCUUCUGGAAAAGGGGCUAUCCUGGGCUGAAGAAGGCAGGUUAUUCUCAGAAUGCAACCCCUUGUUUUGAACUGGGCUGUAUUUGUUCCCGGAUCCUCUUCAUUUCUGCUGCAUAGAUAGGCAGCUUCCUGGAAAGAGAAUUUAAGGAACAAGAACAGAAAAAAAAAAAAAGCCUGAUAGAAGUCAUAACUGGCUCUGCCUGUCCAUGCUAUGACAGCCAACAAAAUCACCUGCUGCUGAUUUACAGAUUCCUGGGAGAUGUGUUGUUGAGUCUCAAAGAACUGGAACAAGGACAACUCGCUCAAUUUGCUUCUCAUGAAACAGGAAAAUAUAUCCACCCGCUUCAUGCUYUCCUAAUUUAGGACACGUGUAGUGUGCAGUGAUGAACUGGCCAACUGAUUAUGUUGCUGUAAAUCUCGUUCCCCACCUCACAAAACACCCCUGAUUGACCCCUGCUUUCAUGACAGCUCAGUGCAGCAUUCCCAGUCCACUUCUUGAGAGGGAGAAAAACCACAUUAGCCACUUGCAAAAGCACUUCUGCAGAGAGAAAAACACAACAUUUCCUUGGUUUUAUUGCAUUGGGCAGCCUUUUCAAGUUCUGCUUGCUUCCAUUUAGAUUGUGACCAGUAUUUAUUUUUCCCUUUUAAAACACAAUAACUUAAUUAAGAAACUAAUCAGCAGUGUUGAACUGAUCUUUCAACUCACCCCUAUCACUGAUGGAAAUUUAUGGAUGUACAAUACAAGAAAGAUCCUAUUAUCUAAAAAGCUUUCUGCUAAAAGCAUUUGGCAUCUAAAAAGUAAGACUUGAAAUUCGGCACUAAAUUUAUAAUGUAAAUAUGUGAACAUUAUUUAUAGAGUCMAAAAUGUAUCCCAACUGAAUCUAACAAGUUUGUCUGGAAUAUUUAUUAAAAUAAAAUUGGUACAAGUUCAAAGGAUUUCAGAAGCGAAUUGGAUAUUUUGGAGUCCAAAGGACACAUUGUAAAGGUACUGUGUAACAGAGAGAAGUUUAAUGGUCCAGGCUGCCUCUUCCAUCAGUGGAGAGAGGUUGGCAUGUUCCAUUUUCUUAGGCACUUAUCUUUGGAUGGAAAYUUAUUGGCUGAUCAUCUCAGCAGGGCAUUAGCAGGAUGUCUGUAGUUAGUCAUUAUCAUCAUCUGUUAUUUCCAGUUYCCUUGGCUUCAGACCAAGAGGAUAAUUCUGAAUACCUGG
Malurus melanocephalus (red-backed fairy wren) is the source of this 1219-nucleotide long non-coding RNA. RefSeq lists it as uncharacterized. NCBI's taxonomy places the organism in Eukaryota, Metazoa, Chordata, Aves, Passeriformes, Maluridae. The record is from RefSeq and is a predicted model, not a curated record. The transcript is spliced from 3 exons.